CUCCUUUUUGUUUUUGCAAUUAGAUUUUUUUCUUUCUAUUUCGAUUUAUUUUAUUUCAUUCCUAUUCUCCUUUCUCAGAAAAAGGGUCUUUAUCCAAAGUAAAAGAUUACUUCGUUCUUGAUAGUUAGUUACUUACUUAGUGGAUAGGAACAUACUCUGGAUCAGAAUCAUGGGGAGUACUUCUUGAUCAUUUCUACGAACGUAAAUCCCCAAUUUGAAUUCCUUUUAUGUACAGAAAUAUCCUCUUGGAUAACUUACAUAAUCUCAAUUACUAAUCCUUUGUGUAUCUUGGUCUUCCUAACCAUCCACUCAUUUUUUGUUUCAAAAACCUCCCGUUGUGGAAAUCCAUCUAUGGUAAUAGACAGUAAAAACUCAAUAGAGUUGGUCUUUUGAACCCGCUUCAAGCUAUCAUGACAAUUCACGAAUCUUGGGGUAAACAAUCUCUCUUGCUUAUGUUUACUUUUUUCACCAUUUGAUUCUUGUACAUAGGAAAUGAGACUCGACUUUUUUACCGCAAACUUAGAAGUUGUUUUCUUUCACUCAUAUAACUAUC
RNAcentral lists this long non-coding RNA (553 nucleotides) under Solanum tuberosum (potato). RNAcentral's name for it is "long non-coding RNA (STUB_LNC001439)". The record is from RNAcentral. Lineage: Eukaryota; Viridiplantae; Streptophyta; Magnoliopsida; Solanales; Solanaceae.